This 1456-nucleotide ribosomal RNA is filed under the name Escherichia coli. RNAcentral's name for it is "partial 23S ribosomal RNA". It matches the Rfam family "Bacterial large subunit ribosomal RNA", at positions 418 to 1859 of the family's 2925-position model. The record is from RNAcentral. Lineage: Bacteria; Pseudomonadati; Pseudomonadota; Gammaproteobacteria; Enterobacterales; Enterobacteriaceae.
CGGGACACGUGGUAUCCUGUCUGAAUAUGGGGGGACCAUCCUCCAAGGCUAAAUACUCCUGACUGACCGAUAGUGAACCAGUACCGUGAGGGAAAGGCGAAAAGAACCCCGGCGAGGGGAGUGAAAAAGAACCUGAAACCGUGUACGUACAAGCAGUGGGAGCACGCUUAGGCGUGUGACUGCGUACCUUUUGUAUAAUGGGUCAGCGACUUAUAUUCUGUAGCAAGGUUAACCGAAUAGGGGAGCCGAAGGGAAACCGAGUCUUAACUGGGCGUUAAGUUGCAGGGUAUAGACCCGAAACCCGGUGAUCUAGCCAUGGGCAGGUUGAAGGUUGGGUAACACUAACUGGAGGACCGAACCGACUAAUGUUGAAAAAUUAGCGGAUGACUUGUGGCUGGGGGUGAAAGGCCAAUCAAACCGGGAGAUAGCUGGUUCUCCCCGAAAGCUAUUUAGGUAGCGCCUCGUGAAUUCAUCUCCGGGGGUAGAGCACUGUUUCGGCAAGGGGGUCAUCCCGACUUACCAACCCGAUGCAAACUGCGAAUACCGGAGAAUGUUAUCACGGGAGACACACGGCGGGUGCUAACGUCCGUCGUGAAGAGGGAAACAACCCAGACCGCCAGCUAAGGUCCCAAAGUCAUGGUUAAGUGGGAAACGAUGUGGGAAGGCCCAGACAGCCAGGAUGUUGGCUUAGAAGCAGCCAUCAUUUAAAGAAAGCGUAAUAGCUCACUGGUCGAGUCGGCCUGCGCGGAAGAUGUAACGGGGCUAAACCAUGCACCGAAGCUGCGGCAGCGACGCUGAUGCGUUGUUGGGUAGGGGAGCGUUCUGUAAGCCUGUGAAGGUGUGCUGUGAGGCAUGCUGGAGGUAUCAGAAGUGCGAAUGCUGACAUAAGUAACGAUAAAGCGGGUGAAAAGCCCGCUCGCCGGAAGACCAAGGGUUCCUGUCCAACGUUAAUCGGGGCAGGGUGAGUCGACCCCUAAGGCGAGGCCGAAAGGCGUAGUCGAUGGGAAACAGGUUAAUAUUCCUGUACUUGGUGUUACUGCGAAGGGGGGACGGAGAAGGCUAUGUUGGCCGGGCGACGGUUGUCCCGGUUUAAGCGUGUAGGCUGGUUUUCCAGGCAAAUCCGGAAAAUCAAGGCUGAGGCGUGAUGACGAGGCACUACGGUGCUGAAGCAACAAAUGCCCUGCUUCCAGGAAAAGCCUCUAAGCAUCAGGUAACAUCAAAUCGUACCCCAAACCGACACAGGUGGUCAGGUAGAGAAUACCAAGGCGCUUGAGAGAACUCGGGUGAAGGAACUAGGCAAAAUGGUGCCGUAACUUCGGGAGAAGGCACGCUGAUAUGUAGGUGAAGCGACUUGCUCGUGGAGCUGAAAUCAGUCGAAGAUACCAGCUGGCUGCAACUGUUUAUUAAAAACACAGCACUGUGCAAACACGAAAGUGGACGUAUACGGUGUGACGCC